AUUGAACGCUGGUGGCAGGCUUAACACAUGCAAGUCGAGCGGCAGCAAGCCUUCGGGCGUUGGCGAGCGGCGGACGGGUGAGUAAUGCAUAGGAAUCUGCCUGGUAGUGGGGGAUAGCCCGGGGAAACUCGGAUUAAUACCGCAUACGCCCUACGGGGGAAAGGAGGGGAUCUUCGGACCUUUCGCUAUCAGAUGAGCCUAUGUCGGAUUAGCUAGUUGGUGAGGUAAAGGCUCACCAAGGCGACGAUCCGUAACUGGUCUGAGAGGAUGAUCAGUCACACUGGAACUGAGACACGGUCCAGACUCCUACGGGAGGCAGCAGUGGGGAAUAUUGGACAAUGGGCGCAAGCCUGAUCCAGCCAUGCCGCGUGUGUGAAGAAGGCCUCGGUUGUAAGAC
RNAcentral lists this ribosomal RNA (397 nucleotides) under uncultured bacterium. RNAcentral describes it as "bacterial SSU rRNA". It matches the Rfam family "Bacterial small subunit ribosomal RNA", at positions 30 to 431 of the family's 1533-position model. The record is from RNAcentral.